Molecule: long non-coding RNA, 2594 nt
Organism: Pogona vitticeps (central bearded dragon)
Lineage: Eukaryota; Metazoa; Chordata; Lepidosauria; Squamata; Agamidae
Source: Ensembl
AUGAGCUGUAUAGCCAUGGUUCCAGCCUUCCAAGCUGAGGCUGCAUACUGGUGGCAAAGCCCUGUAUCCACAGUCAAAAGAAGGCAAAGAAAAUGUAGAGAACAGUUUGGUACUACCAUUGCAUUUAGAGGAGCCACUUUCUUUGAUCCCAUUAACCUGUUGCAGGUGCUAGCAGACCACAGAAGAUCUAUCAAAAUGCCUGCCCACAGCAGCAGCAUAGGUAGUUUAGCAUUGUCCUUUGGAUUGUAUUUAGUAAACGUUAGUAUUUACAUAUGCCUUAUUUUAUUGAAUGUCAUUUUGUUGAGCAAACAACAAAACCUCCACACGGAGGAGGAUAGUUUGUCUAAAGCAAGAAGAGGUCUAUAGUCAUACUGAUGUGACAGAAAGAGAACUCGUGUCAAUCAGCCCUUAAAUGCGCUCCCUUAAACUAUAGCAACCUGAAACAUGUUUGAGAACUUCCUGAGUCUGUUUUGAGGAAACUCAAUUUCAGCAUCAUGUAAGAGCAAGAACAUUUCCCAUUUACAGUUCCCAGGAGGUGGAAUUUUCCUAUUGGGCCUUCUCUUAGGCUCCAGAGGGCUUCAGUGUUAUCUACAUUCGCCUGUUAAGGGGAUUUUCAGCAGACAGAAUGAAAUGAAGUUUAUGGUACACUAGUAGCAAGUGUGGGCCACUUGGAAAUGAUCAGGCUUGGUUAGAACAAUCCACUCAAGCCUGACAGUUUACAUGGAAAUGGCUCCUGCCGGCCUUAAGGGGCUGGUCAAGAAACUGCCCGCAGCUGAAGCCACAGAUGUAGAUUUGACUGCAGAUGGUUUCUGGAUUGACCCUUUAAGGGGAAGCAAAGAAAAGAUUUUUAAUUUUUUUUAUAUAAAUUUUUUAAAUAUGUUGUGCAUUAGUCUACAUACAAUCAAAAACAAUUUUUCACUUCCCCUGCUCUCUGCCAAGCAGGGGAAGUGAAUAAUUUGCCAAUAUUCUGAAAUGGCUCACUUAUUAAGUCACUUCACAGUACUGGCAAAUUGAAAGAGGAAGACUUGCUUUGGAGCACUUCCAGCAAUCUCAAAUGCUGGAACCAAUCCAAACCAGAGUGGUCCUACCCACAGCAAAAAAAAGGAGAUUCCCCUUGACGGGCUAAAAAAAGUGCAGGUAGGAAUACUCUUGGGGUGGGCUAGUGCACUCUAGCAAAGACAUCAUCUGAUUGCCAUCUUUGAGAGCAAGUGAGCCCAUUCAUGCAGCACUCAAAACAGCAGGUUCAACAGCCCAUAUAGUCAGCCUCAAACAUAGCCUGACCCAGAUAGACUCUGGGGGAAGGGAAGGGAAAGAGGCCAAACAGAGACUAAACUCUGAAGAAAAAGGAGGGAACAGCAGCUGGAAAAAGAUAAAUAACCAACAUGAAAGAGCCAUUUAAACUCCAGUCGAGCUAGAGUUUAUCAGAUUUCAGUAUUCCAUUUGUAUUAUAAACCAUAAGCCAGUAGCAAUACAAAUAUAUGUUACCCUCUAUAUAUUUUCUUGCUAGUUAGAACUAGGUGAACAGUCUGAUAGUGGAUAUGUCUCCAGAGAUAACAAUUUGCCCCCUCAGUCCUGUGUCCCAUCAAACUUACCUAUUUGUUCAAGACCCACCCAGUGAACUGAGCAGUGGGAAUUCACUGAUAAAAUAUUGAAAAGGCAUAUGUCUUUAAGACAGCUCAGAUUUUUUGCAGAUCUCAGUCUGAAAGAUAAAGCAAAUCUUCAUCCACUCAUAAAUGAAACCUCUUCAAGGUGCCAUGAGAGCCGUUGCUAUUUAUUUCAUUGCUUCCUAUUGCAUUUGGGCAUGCUAACAACUAAUUGGUCUCACUCCUGGCCAAACAGAUGCAAGGUAAGGCUUUUCAACAAUACUGUGUAUGAAGAGAUCUUAAUCUGGAUUCAACACAAAUUACCAUUGGGAAUUUCCAAAAGAAGUCAUAGUUUAUAAUCCAAUGGUGCGAGAAAAAGUGACAUUCCAAUUAUUCCAGUAACAGGAAAAGCAUUCAGCAUUUUUUUUAAAAAAACGAAAACAUUUUUGAAUGUAUUUCCAUUUAAAGUACUUAAAAGAUAAGAUUGUUCUACUUAAUUUCCAGCAACUGAAACUCUAAAGAAUUUGGUGAUGUUUAAAUGUAGUGUUUUUAUAUUUUCAAUGGGUUUAAUCCCCUCCCUCCUCCAAGUGUACAAACUGACCUAGCACUAUUGUACAGUGCAACAAAGUAUGGGUGGGCAGAAGCAUGACUCAGGCAUUUCUCUCUUUUUUGCAUGUCCCACAUGACAUGCAAAUAGGGACCUUUUUUCAAACUCCCCUGCAAUGAGGAGAAUGAACUCCUCCUGCAUCCUGGACUUCUCAUCAGAGGAAGGAGUAGAAAGAAGGAGCACAAAGACCCCCUUCAUGCAUUACAUGGGACACAUGAAAAGAGAAAGUGCAACACACUGCUCAUACACAUGCUUCCUCUUAAUGUGCAAAGACACCCUAAAACCCAUAAUGAUGGGGCAUUAUUUCCAGACAAACUAUAGAUGCAACUAUAGGACAGAACCAUAUCGGUAAUCAUGUCUGUUUCCAUAAUAAACCCUUCUCCAGAGCUGGUGGCCCUUUGGAA